UCCAGCUGUAGGCAACUGUCUAGGUUGGCUUGUACCUAGACAAGUGUUGCACUGCUGGGAGAAAAGCAACUGGCAGCUGGUGGGCAUUCUGAACCUGGUUAAUGCCAAAUUUG
This is a small nucleolar RNA of Ochotona princeps (American pika), 113 nucleotides long. Its record names the gene SNORA74. It matches the Rfam family "Small nucleolar RNA SNORA74". From Rfam's summary of the family: U19 belongs to the H/ACA class of snoRNAs. snoRNAs bind a number of proteins (including dyskerin, Gar1p and Nop10p in the case of the H/ACA class) to form snoRNP complexes. This class are thought to guide the sites of modification of uridines to pseudouridines by forming direct base pairing interactions with substrate RNAs. The record is from Ensembl. NCBI's taxonomy places the organism in Eukaryota, Metazoa, Chordata, Mammalia, Lagomorpha, Ochotonidae.